CCUACGGGUGGCUGCAGUGGGGAAUAUUGGACAAUGGGCGAAAGCCUGAUCCAGCCAUGCCGCGUGUGUGAAGAAGGCCUUCGGGUUGUAAAGCACUUUCAGUGGGGAAGAAAGCCUUGGGGCUAAUACCCUCGAGGAAGGACAUCACCCACAGAAGAAGCACCGGCUAACUCCGUGCCAGCAGCCGCGGUAAUACGGAGGGUGCGAGCGUUAAUCGGAAUUACUGGGCGUAAAGCGCGCGUAGGCGGUCUGAUAAGCCGGUUGUGAAAGCCCCGGGCUCAACCUGGGAACGGCAUCCGGAACUGUCAGGCUAGAGUGCAGGAGAGGAAGGUAGAAUUCCCGGUGUAGCGGUGAAAUGCGUAGAGAUCGGGAGGAAUACCAGUGGCGAAGGCGGCCUUCUGGACUGAAACUGACGCUGAGGUGCGAAAGCGUGGGUAGCAAACAGGAUUAGAUACCCGGUAGUC
This 464-nucleotide ribosomal RNA is filed under the name Vreelandella stevensii. RNAcentral describes it as "partial 16S ribosomal RNA". It matches the Rfam family "Bacterial small subunit ribosomal RNA", at positions 338 to 795 of the family's 1533-position model. The record is from RNAcentral. Lineage: Bacteria; Pseudomonadati; Pseudomonadota; Gammaproteobacteria; Oceanospirillales; Halomonadaceae.